Molecule: ribosomal RNA, 479 nt
Filed under: uncultured organism
Description: partial 16S ribosomal RNA
Rfam family: Bacterial small subunit ribosomal RNA
Source: RNAcentral
GUACACUCCUACGGGAGGCAGCAGUGGGGAAUUUUGGACAAUGGGCGAAAGCCUGAUCCAGCAAUGCCGCGUGAGUGAAGAAGGCCUUCGGGUUGUAAAGCUCUUUUGUCAGGGAAGAAACGGUGAGAGCUAAUAUCUCUUGCUAAUGACGGUACCUGAAGAAUAAGCACCGGCUAACUACGUGCCAGCAGCCGCGGUAAUACGUAGGGUGCAAGCGUUAAUCGGAAUUACUGGGCGUAAAGCGUGCGCAGGCGGUUUUGUAAGUCUGAUGUGAAAUCCCCGGGCUCAACCUGGGAAUUGCAUUGGAGACUGCAAGGCUAGAAUCUGGCAGAGGGGGGUAGAAUUCCACGUGUAGCAGUGAAAUGCGUAGAUAUGUGGAGGAACACCGAUGGCGAAGGCAGCCCCCUGGGUCAAGAUUGACGCUCAUGCACGAAAGCGUGGGGAGCAAACAGGAUUAGAAACCCUUGUAGUCCCAUGAU